RNAcentral lists this ribosomal RNA (483 nucleotides) under uncultured bacterium. RNAcentral's name for it is "partial 16S ribosomal RNA". It matches the Rfam family "Bacterial small subunit ribosomal RNA", at positions 30 to 506 of the family's 1533-position model. The record is from RNAcentral.
AUUGAACGCUGGCGGCAGGCCUAACACAUGCAAGUCGAGCGGAUGAAGGGAGCUUGCUCCUGGAUUCAGCGGCGGACGGGUGAGUAAUGCCUAGGAAUCUGCCUGGUAGUGGGGGAUAACGUCCGGAAACGGGCGCUAAUACCGCAUACGUCCUGAGGGAGAAAGUGGGGGAUCUUCGGACCUCACGCUAUCAGAUGAGCCUAGGUCGGAUUAGCUAGUUGGUGGGGUAAAGGCCUACCAAGGCGACGAUCCGUAACUGGUCUGAGAGGAUGAUCAGUCAACCGGGAACUGAGAACCGGUCCCAACUCCUAGGGGAGGCAGCGGUGGGAAAUAUUGGAAAAUGGGCGAAACCCUGACCCAGCCAGGCCGGGUUGUUGAAGAAGGUUUUCGGAUUGUAAAGCAUUUUAAGUUGGGAGGAAGGGCAGUAAGUUAAAACCUUUCUUUUUUGACGUUCCCAACAAAAUAAGCACCGGCUAACUUCGU